Molecule: non-coding RNA, 402 nt
Organism: Lemur catta (Ring-tailed lemur)
Lineage: Eukaryota; Metazoa; Chordata; Mammalia; Primates; Lemuridae
Source: the annotation of a RefSeq genome assembly
GCUGCCAUGGGCAACAGGCUCCUCUGCUGUGUGGUCCUUUGUCUCCUGAGAGCAGGCCUCAAGGAUGCUGUCAUCACACAGUUCCCAAGACACAGGAUCAUUGGGACAGGGAGGGGAUUAACUCUACGCUGCUCCCAGAAUAUGGAUCACUUUGCAAUGUACUGGUAUCGACAGGAUCCAGGGUUUGAACUGCAGCUGCUCUAUUACUCCCCUGCUACCGCCAGCAUUGAAGGUGUCACUGAGGGGUAUCGUGUGUCUCGAAAUAAGACAGACUAUUUUCCCCUGACCCUGGAGUCUGCCAGCACCAACCAGACAUCUGUGUAUCUCUGUGCCAGCAGCUCAUCCACAGCGCUGCACAGCCACAUCCUCUCCGCACAGAAAAGGGGCAAACCAAGGCAUUAG